This 31-nucleotide non-coding RNA is filed under the name Rattus norvegicus (Norway rat). Lineage: Eukaryota; Metazoa; Chordata; Mammalia; Rodentia; Muridae. The record is from RNAcentral.
CUGUGUUCUCCCACAUACAAUUUGCUCCAGG